This 74-nucleotide transfer RNA is filed under the name bacterium. Its description in RNAcentral is "tRNA-Gly". It matches the Rfam family "tRNA". From Rfam's summary of the family: Transfer RNA (tRNA) molecules are approximately 80 nucleotides in length. Their secondary structure includes four short double-helical elements and three loops (D, anti-codon, and T loops). The record is from RNAcentral.
GCGGGUAUAGUUUAGUGGUAGAAUGGCUGCUUCCCAAGCAGCAGACGCGAGUUCGAUUCUCGCUACCCGCACCA